GGAGGUGUGGUCCAGCGGUUAGGACUCUGGUCUGUGGAACCAGCGGCACGGGUUCGACUCCCGUCACCUCCCCCA
This 75-nucleotide transfer RNA is filed under the name Chloroflexota bacterium. RNAcentral describes it as "tRNA-His". It matches the Rfam family "tRNA". Rfam says of the family: Transfer RNA (tRNA) molecules are approximately 80 nucleotides in length. Their secondary structure includes four short double-helical elements and three loops (D, anti-codon, and T loops). Lineage: Bacteria; Bacillati; Chloroflexota. RNAcentral also lists the same sequence under 1 other name. The record is from RNAcentral.